RNAcentral lists this ribosomal RNA (2930 nucleotides) under Escherichia coli. RNAcentral's name for it is "bacterial LSU rRNA". It matches the Rfam family "Bacterial large subunit ribosomal RNA". Lineage: Bacteria; Pseudomonadati; Pseudomonadota; Gammaproteobacteria; Enterobacterales; Enterobacteriaceae. The record is from RNAcentral.
GGGUUGUGAGGUUAAGCGACUAAGCGUACACGGUGGAUGCCCUGGCAGUCAGAGGCGAUGAAGGACGUGCUAAUCUGCGAUAAGCGUCGGUAAGGUGAUAUGAACCGUUAUAACCGGCGAUUUCCGAAUGGGGAAACCCAGUGUGUUUCGACACACUAUCAUUAACUGAAUCCAUAGGUUAAUGAGGCGAACCGGGGGAACUGAAACAUCUAAGUACCCCGAGGAAAAGAAAUCAACCGAGAUUCCCCCAGUAGCGGCGAGCGAACGGGGAGCAGCCCAGAGCCUGAAUCAGUGUGUGUGUUAGUGGAAGCGUCUGGAAAGGCGCGCGAUACAGGGUGACAGCCCCGUACACAAAAAUGCACAUGCUGUGAGCUCGAUGAGUAGGGCGGGACACGUGGUAUCCUGUCUGAAUAUGGGGGGACCAUCCUCCAAGGCUAAAUACUCCUGACUGACCGAUAGUGAACCAGUACCGUGAGGGAAAGGCGAAAAGAACCCCGGCGAGGGGAGUGAAAAAGAACCUGAAACCGUGUACGUACAAGCAGUGGGAGCACGCUUAGGCGUGUGACUGCGUACCUUUUGUAUAAUGGGUCAGCGACUUAUAUUCUGUAGCAAGGUUAACCGAAUAGGGGAGCCGAAGGGAAACCGAGUCUUAACUGGGCGUUAAGUUGCAGGGUAUAGACCCGAAACCCGGUGAUCUAGCCAUGGGCAGGUUGAAGGUUGGGUAACACUAACUGGAGGACCGAACCGACUAAUGUUGAAAAAUUAGCGGAUGACUUGUGGCUGGGGGUGAAAGGCCAAUCAAACCGGGAGAUAGCUGGUUCUCCCCGAAAGCUAUUUAGGUAGCGCCUCGUGAAUUCAUCUCCGGGGGUAGAGCACUGUUUCGGCAAGGGGGUCAUCCCGACUUACCAACCCGAUGCAAACUGCGAAUACCGGAGAAUGUUAUCACGGGAGACACACGGCGGGUGCUAACGUCCGUCGUGAAGAGGGAAACAACCCAGACCGCCAGCUAAGGUCCCAAAGUCAUGGUUAAGUGGGAAACGAUGUGGGAAGGCCCAGACAGCCAGGAUGUUGGCUUAGAAGCAGCCAUCAUUUAAAGAAAGCGUAAUAGCUCACUGGUCGAGUCGGCCUGCGCGGAAGAUGUAACGGGGCUAAACCAUGCACCGAAGCUGCGGCAGCGACGCUUAUGCGUUGUUGGGUAGGGGAGCGUUCUGUAAGCCUGUGAAGGUGUACUGUGAGGUAUGCUGGAGGUAUCAGAAGUGCGAAUGCUGACAUAAGUAACGAUAAAGCGGGUGAAAAGCCCGCUCGCCGGAAGACCAAGGGUUCCUGUCCAACGUUAAUCGGGGCAGGGUGAGUCGACCCCUAAGGCGAGGCCGAAAGGCGUAGUCGAUGGGAAACAGGUUAAUAUUCCUGUACUUGGUGUUACUGCGAAGGGGGGACGGAGAAGGCUAUGUUGGCCGGGCGACGGUUGUCCCGGUUUAAGCGUGUAGGCUGGUUUUCCAGGCAAAUCCGGAAAAUCAAGGCUGAGGCGUGAUGACGAGGCACUACGGUGCUGAAGCAACAAAUGCCCUGCUUCCAGGAAAAGCCUCUAAGCAUCAGGUAACAUCAAAUCGUACCCCAAACCGACACAGGUGGUCAGGUAGAGAAUACCAAGGCGCUUGAGAGAACUCGGGUGAAGGAACUAGGCAAAAUGGUGCCGUAACUUCGGGAGAAGGCACGCUGAUAUGUAGGUGAAGUCCCUUGCGGAUGGAGCUGAAAUCAGUCGAAGAUACCAGCUGGCUGCAACUGUUUAUUAAAAACACAGCACUGUGCAAACACGAAAGUGGACGUAUACGGUGUGACGCCUGCCCGGUGCCGGAAGGUUAAUUGAUGGGGUCAGCGCAAGCGAAGCUCUUGAUCGAAGCCCCGGUAAACGGCGGCCGUAACUAUAACGGUCCUAAGGUAGCGAAAUUCCUUGUCGGGUAAGUUCCGACCUGCACGAAUGGCGUAAUGAUGGCCAGGCUGUCUCCACCCGAGACUCAGUGAAAUUGAACUCGCUGUGAAGAUGCAGUGUACCCGCGGCAAGACGGAAAGACCCCGUGAACCUUUACUAUAGCUUGACACUGAACAUUGAGCCUUGAUGUGUAGGAUAGGUGGGAGGCUUUGAAGUGUGGACGCCAGUCUGCAUGGAGCCGACCUUGAAAUACCACCCUUUAAUGUUUGAUGUUCUAACGUGGACCCGUGAUCCGGGUUGCGGACAGUGUCUGGUGGGUAGUUUGACUGGGGCGGUCUCCUCCUAAAGAGUAACGGAGGAGCACGAAGGUUGGCUAAUCCUGGUCGGACAUCAGGAGGUUAGUGCAAUGGCAUAAGCCAGCUUGACUGCGAGCGUGACGGCGCGAGCAGGUGCGAAAGCAGGUCAUAGUGAUCCGGUGGUUCUGAAUGGAAGGGCCAUCGCUCAACGGAUAAAAGGUACUCCGGGGAUAACAGGCUGAUACCGCCCAAGAGUUCAUAUCGACGGCGGUGUUUGGCACCUCGAUGUCGGCUCAUCACAUCCUGGGGCUGAAGUAGGUCCCAAGGGUAUGGCUGUUCGCCAUUUAAAGUGGUACGCGAGCUGGGUUUAGAACGUCGUGAGACAGUUCGGUCCCUAUCUGCCGUGGGCGCUGGAGAACUGAGGGGGGCUGCUCCUAGUACGAGAGGACCGGAGUGGACGCAUCACUGGUGUUCGGGUUGUCAUGCCAAUGGCACUGCCCGGUAGCUAAAUGCGGAAGAGAUAAGUGCUGAAAGCAUCUAAGCACGAAACUUGCCCCGAGAUGAGUUCUCCCUGACCCUUUAAGGGUCCUGAAGGAACGUUGAAGACGACGACGUUGAUAGGCCGGGUGUGUAAGCGCAGCGAUGCGUUGAGCUAACCGGUACUAAUGAACCGUGAGGCUUAACCUUACAACGCCGAAGCUGUU